ACCUUUGAGAAGAGAGAGCUAAGCUCCCAGGACUGUUGAAGAGAAGCACUGAGGCUGAAUAUGCACAUUUCAUACAUAGCCUAAUUUUAAUCAACCCCCAAGAGAACGCCUAUGGAAUGGAAUCUGGAAGAAGCUAUUCAUUUUAUAAAUGGAAGUUUGCCCGGCUUUACCCAUUUUCCCACCAACCUGCCAGCAACCACCAGUCUACUUCCUGUUUCUAUGAGUUUGAUUUCUUUCAGCUCAACAUAUGGGCCUGCCUUCGUAGCAGAUCUGGUACACCGCCGUGAACAAUGGAAACUUGUCCAGCAGUCCCUUCGGUUUGAGGAUGCCAUACACCUCGGCGGAAGUCUGUGGUCCUUGCAGCUUCUGCCCGUUCAGCAUCUCCUUCUCCAGUUCUUCAAUGGUCUUUCCGGUCGCCGCAAAGGCCUCAGCUACCUUGCGGUUCCGGCCCGCGUAGCAGGUAGUGAUCAGGUCGGCCACGCCGCAGCUCUCCAGGAAGGUGGCUUUGGACACGUGGCCCUUGCAGAAGAUCCUGGCGAAGGUGAUCAUUUCCAUGAGCCCCAGGCGGAUGACGGCAGCUUUGGUGUUGUCGCCGCAGUGGAGGCCGUCGCAGAACCCGGCUCCCACGGCCACAAUGUUCUUCAGAGCGCCACAAAGUUCAACAGCGUCUGCCUCAGCAACCACCUUAAUUCGAAAAUUUGGAGUCUGAAGAAGUUCUUUGAAGAGGAGGCCGUGCUCCAUUACCUUGCUGCCGAUGGUGGUCUCACAGAACUUCUCGGCAGCCACCUCAUUGGCAGUGUUGGCGCCCAUCAGCACACUGACGUCAAUGUCCAUCUUCUCUCGGAUGAUGUCAGAAAUGAGCUUCAGCCCCUGGGGACCCUCAUCUAUGCCC
Bos taurus (domestic cattle) is the source of this 892-nucleotide long non-coding RNA. The record is from Ensembl. Lineage: Eukaryota; Metazoa; Chordata; Mammalia; Artiodactyla; Bovidae.